Molecule: ribosomal RNA, 339 nt
Filed under: Triticum aestivum (bread wheat)
Lineage: Eukaryota; Viridiplantae; Streptophyta; Magnoliopsida; Poales; Poaceae
Description: partial small subunit ribosomal RNA
Source: RNAcentral
UCAUUCGAUUUGUUGUGGAUUGGAUGAUGGAAAAACCAGCAAGCAGCAAGCGUAGUUAGAAAAGUUGCCGUAGCGCACCCUACGGAGUUGUACAAAGUCAGCAACCGUUUUGGGGCGCAAGCAUAGGCAACACUGGACUGAUGACGGGGUGGGGCGCACAGUGAACUGGUUUUCUAAAAAGAUUGGAAGAUCCGGCCAAAGAAGGUGAUAGCCCUGUUCAUUCGUUUCCAUGGUUCGAUCCUUCCCAGUAAAACGCGGCGUGUUCGAAUGAUGAUCACUUUUACGCGAGAAAGGGGGACCACCCUCUAAGCCUAAGUAUUCCUCAAUGACCAAUAGCAU